GCCCCUACCCUCACCUUAUUUAAGGAACCAGCCCGCUCUGCUCGGCACCUGGUUCUAGUUUUCGAUCUCCGGUGGUUCUGCGGGAGCCUCGAGAAAGACUUGUCUGAAAUUCUCGUCUCACCUCUUGUCAGUUUCUAUUGCCUGAAAAGCCCAAGGACCCAGAUCACAGGCUCUAGGACAAUCAAGCUUCAGUAGUUGCAGCACUAUGGGGUCUGUAAUCAUGGCUCAGGAGCUCAGUUGUUCUGUGGCACGUGGAAUCCUCUGGACCAGGGACUGACUGCAUGUCCCUGGUGUUAGCAGGGGACUCCCAUCUACUGAACCACCAGGGAAGUCCUUGCUGCUGCUGCUAAGUCACUUCAGUCGUGUCCGACUCUGCGUGACCCCAUAGAUGUCAGCCCACCAGGCUCUCCUGCCCCUGGGAUUCUCCAGGCAAGAACACUGGAGUGGGUUGCCAUUUCCUUCUCCAAUGCAUGAAAGUGAAGUUGCUCAGUCGAGUCCAACUCUUAGCGACCUCAUGGACUGCAGCCCACCAGGCUCCUCCAUCCAUGGGAUUUUCCAGUACAACAUGGUCUGAAUUACUAUGCAUUCGUGCGUGCAAAGUUGCUUCAGUCCUGUCUGACUCUUUGCCCCAUGGACUAUAGCCUGCCAGGCUCCUCUGUCCAUGGGAUUCUCCAGGCAAGAACACAAGAGUGGGUUGUCAUGCCCUCCUCCAGGGGAUCUUCCCAACCAAGGGAUCAAACCUGAGCUUCUUAUGUCU
Bos taurus (domestic cattle) is the source of this 757-nucleotide long non-coding RNA. NCBI's taxonomy places the organism in Eukaryota, Metazoa, Chordata, Mammalia, Artiodactyla, Bovidae. The record is from Ensembl.